GAUGAACGCUGGCGGCGUGCUUAAUACAUGCAAGUCGAACGGAAAGGCCCUGCUUUUGUGGGUUGCUUGAUUGGCGAACGGGUGAGUAUCACGCGAGUAUCAUGUCCUUGUCUUUGGGAUAACUUCAGGAAACUCGGGCUAAAACCGGAUAGGAGCUCCUGCUGCGUGGUGGUGGUUGGAAAGAUUCGGCGGUUGUGGAUGGACUCGCGGCUUAUCAGCUUGUUGGUGAGGUAGUGACUUACCACGGCUUUGACGGGUAGCCGGCCUGAGAGGGUGACCGGCCACAUUAGGCCUGAGAUACGGCCCAGACUCGUACGGGAGGCAGCAGUGGGGAAUAUUACGCAGUGGGCGGGAGCCUGAUGCGGUAGCGCCGCGUGCGGGAUGACGGCCUUCGGGUUGUAAACCGCUUUCGCCUGUGACGAAGCGUGAGUGACGGUAAUGAGUAAAGAAGCACCGGCUAACUACGUG
Molecule: ribosomal RNA, 468 nt
Filed under: uncultured bacterium
Lineage: Bacteria
Description: partial 16S ribosomal RNA
Rfam family: Bacterial small subunit ribosomal RNA
Source: RNAcentral